RNAcentral lists this non-coding RNA (28 nucleotides) under Mus musculus (house mouse). Lineage: Eukaryota; Metazoa; Chordata; Mammalia; Rodentia; Muridae. The record is from RNAcentral.
UAAAGCUAUUUCCCACUUUACUUCUGAU